UUUCGCAGGUGCUGAGCUGCUGGGUGGGUGAGCCGGGAGCUGGUGGAGAGAACGCAAAGGCCGGAUGUCGUUUGGUUCUUAUCUGGAAGAUUUGAGGUUGCAAGAAGAGAACUUUCCUUCUCUGCAGUCAGGCAGAGCUCAAGGCAGGUCCUCAGCCUUGUAAGUGUUUCCCACGUGAGAAGCCAGCACCACCACCUUCAUCAAUAUCACCAUGACUUUCAUCGUCAUCACCAUUACAACCACCAUCAUUAAUAUCACCAUCACCUUCACGUAACUACCUCCACAACCACCAUUCUCAAUAUCACCAUCACCUUCAUUACCACCACUACAACCACCAUCAAUAUCACCAUCACCUUCAUCAUCACCACCACCACAACCACCAUCAAUAUCACCAUCACCUUCAUCACCACCACCAUCAUCAUCAAUAUCACUAUCACUUUCAUCAUCACCACCAGCACCACAACCACCAUCAAUAUCACCAUUACCUUCAUCAUCACCAUCACCUUCAUCACCACAACCACCAUCUCACAAUCACUUUCAUCAUCACCACCACCAUAACCAUCGUCAAUAUCACCAUCACCUUCAUCAUCACCACAACCACCAUCAACCAUAUCACCAUCACUUUCAUCAUCACCACCACCACAACCACCAUCAAUACCACCUUCAUCAUCACCACCACCACAAAUCACCAUCAUAUCACCCUCACUUUCAUCAUUACCACAAUCACCAUCAAUAUCACCAUCCCCUUCACCAUCACUACCAACACAGCCACCAUCAUCAAUAUCACCCUCAACUUUAUUAUCACCUCCACCAUCAGCAGCAGCAUCAACUUCAUCAUCACCAUCACCACCUCUGCCAUCAGCAGCAUCAUUAUUAUCUUCAUCAUCAUGGUUUCAGCCACAAUCGGAAUCAACAGCCGUCACCCAGAGUUGAAGGAGGAAGUGGGCUGAGAGAAGCUCUGCCUUCAUAGUUCCUGGGAGGCAUGAACUGGUUGCUGCAUGCUGAGCAUUUCAAACUGGCACACGGUGUCACCCACUCAGAGAACACCCCUGACCUUCCCAAGGAAGCCCUCUGCACUCCGACGCCAUAUACCCGUGAUCUGCACAGGACUGUCACCAUCUGGAAUUGAUUGCCUCUCUUCCCGUUUUGCUAUUGUCAUUUGCACCCACAGGAAUGUCACCCACAUGAGUGUGGAAUUUCAUCUGUCUGUUCGCUGCUGGAUCCCUGCUCUAAGUAAGAAAAGGACCUGUGGCAGAGUGAGCUCUGGAUGAGGAUUUGCUGAGGAAUUGAAUGAGGGAAAGACUCAGAGAAUGGAAUGCUGAGAAUUCUACAAUAAAUAUUUGAAUCCUAGAGUGUUGGAGUCAGGAGAAGCCCUCGGAAGCCAUCUAGACAAACCCAUUCAUUUGCAAAGGGGUAAACUGAGGCUGAGGAGAAAAAAGUGACUUGCUCCACAUCCCAAGGCCUGAGGGUCUUCUCCCUGCUCUGAUGGGAGAGGGACCCCCUUUGUGCUGUUGUGGGUAAAAUGGUGAUGUGUGGCUGGAGGGUGAAGGGGCUUCUUCUGCCCUUUGACUCAUUGCCUAGGAAAAUAGGGACAAAAGGCGCAAAUUUUUUCAAAAUGCAAACAACUAAAGACAACGUCAUUCAGUAGAGACAAAGUGGGUGUUUGGGUUGACAGAGAAACAGAAAAGCUUCCCUGAGGUUGAGGAGGGAAGAGGGGGCUUGAAGGUGGGUGAGCCCCAAAUGUGACCUUCAACUCCUGGGAAGCUGUAGGCAAGGACAUAGCCAAGGCAAAACCAUCAAGAAUGUAAUUCACCAACAGAAACAUUCACUGACCACCCUCGGGGCCUGAAGGUCUUUCCAAAGCCUUGCUGCUGAGCACAUGAUGAACUUCAAACAAUAGCGAAGUCAGGAGCCAGGCGCUGAUGACCCCCAGGAGGAAGCUUGCAGAGGAUGAUGGGACAGAGGGGGAUGGGCAGGAGUCUAAGCAGGCGCUCAGGGAGGCCGCUUUCGUCAAGGAUGCUGAAAGAAUGGGGGUCUCAUGGAUUCUGGGAGAGAUGGUCCAAGGCAGAGGGACAGCCAGUGUGGGCCUGGAAAGAUGUGUGCCGCAUGUCUGAGGGGCAGGGGCCAAUGUGGCUGGAGGUAGAUGGGAGAGGAGGACACUAGGGGCUGAGGUCAGAGGGGACACAACUGGAUCUGUGCGAGACCUUGCAUGCCACUGAAAGGGCGCUGGCUGUCACUGUCGUGACCAGAGCCUCUGGGCAGGUCUUCACAGAGGUCAGGCUGACUGCACUUGCGGAUGGAUUGAAUAGCAGUAGUUAGAGGACAGCAUGCAUGGCUCAGGGAGGAUUCCCAGGAUUUGGGAUGCACAGCUGGAAGAAGGGAGGAGCUCCUGAAUGAGGAGUGGGAGGUCCGGGAAGGGCAGCCUUGGUGGGGAGAGACGCCGGGACCUGCAGAGAAACUCCCUGAAAAGAACAGGGCUGAGCCAUCUUUACCCCAGGCUCAGGACCUUCCUUCGCUGUAACUGCCAGGACAAUCCACUGUGCUGUCACUCAGAGAGCGAAACCAGCCUGACUUUGCACCUGUGUCUCCAAGGGAUAAAGGUCAAUGUCACAGCAGACUCCACUCUGAUGCUGUCUUCAAGCCAAAACCUUAAUAUUCAAUGAGAAAUCUGCAUUGAUGAAAUUUUCAUUAAACAAACUUUAUCCCUCUCACUCCUCUUGUUAUUCGUGGCUUUAAGUAUCAGGCUAAUUUAGGCUUGAUGCCCCAGUGAUCUGCAGAUUGGAGCAUUAUUAAACAUUUAGAUGAGCAAUGAUGAGCCUGAGCCUCCCUCUCCUCUCUCAGCUGGAGCACAGGGGGCUCUGCUAAUGAUCACAAUGGAUUUGGGGCAGACACAGCAAUUAGAGAAUUAUCUAUAGUUUGAGCAAGAUUUGACCCCUCUGUCUUCAAGGGAAAUUAGCUGCUUGACUUACAGAGCACACAAUUUAAUUGAUAAAAUGUAUGAAAAGAAAAUUCCAGCCUUAGAGCCAGUUUUACAACUAACAAGCUGUGCAAAUGCCUGAGCAGACCCCUCUUUCUUUCUGUACCUCCUCUUGCCCCAUCCGUAGAGUAAGGAGGGCUAGACCAGGGCAGAGGCUUCCACAUGUGGGCUGUGGGCUGAAAUCAGCCUGGAGAGGGGCUCUGUCUGGCAAACUGUUUCAUUUGUUUGUUUAGUGAACACUUUCCUAGCACUCAUGAUUUUGGGUUCUGUGUGUUUCAUGUAUGUUAACUUGUCUCAUUCUCCCAAUACCCCUUGAGAUAGGCACUCUUAUUAUUCCCAUUUUAGAGAUGGGAAAACUCUGACCAAGAGGGGUUCAAUGCCUUACUGUGGGUCAUCUGCUGGGCAGGAGUAAGGCAGGGUUUGGACCCAGAUGGUCUGGUUCCACAGCCUAUGCUAUAAACUUCUGUGCCAAACUGUUUUUAUUAUUAUUAUUAUUAUUAUUAUUAUUGGAGGCAUAAUGUUUAAAAUGAAAUUGUCAGAAAUUUAAGUGUGUGUGUUCUUGACAUCAAACAGCUUAUAUGUUACAAUAACGGAGCUCUCCCAAUACUCAGUCCGCCUUCCUAUCUUGCCACAGGCAGCUAUUACCAACGUGCCCUUAGGGUGGAACAUUCUCCUCCUGGUCUACCUCAGUCCCUCCAGUCCUAGAGUCUCCCCAUCACCACGGCCAAAUAUAGCUCAUCUUUGAUAACUGAAUUUACCCUCUUGAUCAUGCUUGGAUUGCUUCAUUGUUUGACUUACCUGCUUGGUGCUGGUAGGCAUUUAGGAGUUGUUUGAAGGCAUCAGAAAGCAACCCAGGCUGCCAGGACUUGAGGGUCCACGAUCCCAUGGAAAAGCGAACUGCAACGAGGUAAGCCCUACAUUCUCCUUGAAGCUAGUAGCCUUGAAUCUCCUUGAGCUAGUAGCCAAUUUGUAAGUGCAGAGGGGUUGAGAAAGCAGAAAGCAGUGGCUCAGAGUUGUAUGCCAAGUUCACAGAUCUGGGGAGACGAAAGUUGACAUUCAAGCUGACAAGAAAGCCAGGGUUUGAGGGACAGAGAUGUCAGAGAAAAUGGGACCCCUGACAGUGAGUCUGAAUUUCUGUAUCAGUGUUUGCUGAUCCAGAAUGAGAUGCUCAGAAGCCGAGCUGAAAGUGGGCCCCCAAAAGCUAAGAAACCAAGCAGUUUUCAUCAAUAUCAUGAUGCCGUAACAACAAAAAUUAGGGUUUAAGACUCAACAAACAGGAGUUCUGGAAAAUAUGCAAGUCUUUCAGUUGAGGUCCUCCAAGGAAUUGCCCUAGAAGAAAGAUCAAACCAAAAUAAAGUAGGCCUUAUAAAGACAGAAAAUCAGCCUUAAAUUACCUUAAUCCCAGAUUGAUUAAGGUAAUCUGUGCCUACCAUCGUGGUUGACAGAAGAAUUUAUUCUCUGGGAAAAGAUAUCAAGAGACACUCAGUUUUUCAAAUAAAAUAGCCAGAAGUCAUAAAAAAAAGUCAUCAGAAGUAUUAAUAACAGGAGCAGGUGCAAAUGACCAAAAACCAAGCAAUAAAAAAAAUAGACAACAAGAAAAGACCCACAGAUGAUUAGUUACUGAAAUGAUCAGAUACAAACUUUGAAAUAGCAAUUAGUGAUAUAUUAAUUUAAAAAAUGAAAAGCUGGAAAAUUUCAUCAGAAAAAUGGAAUUUAUAAAGCAGAAUCAGAUGAAUAGUCUCAAACUGAAAAAUAAAAUAACUAAAAUUGAAAAUACAAGUGAUAGGUACAUCAACAAUUUAGACAAAGCAGGAGAUAGGUGUGUUGAAAAUCUACAGGCUGAGGUAUGGCAUAAAAACUUUGAAAAUAUAAAAAAGAGCAUCAGAAAAUAUAGAAUAUGAUGAAAGAUCUAAAUACACGUAAUUGAAAUUCUAAGGCUGGGUGCGGGGACUCAUGUCUAUAAUCUCAGCACUUUGGGAGGCCAAGGUAGGUGAAUUGCUUGAGCCUAGGAGUUUGAGGCCAGCCCGGGCAACGUGGUGAAAUCCCGUCUCUAUGAAAAAU
This 5038-nucleotide long non-coding RNA is filed under the name Homo sapiens (human). RNAcentral describes it as "HSALNT0268108". The record is from RNAcentral. Lineage: Eukaryota; Metazoa; Chordata; Mammalia; Primates; Hominidae.